UAACAAAAACAGGUGAUUGCAUCCAUUUUAAAUGGAUGAGGAAAGUCCGGACAUAAAUUAAAGACAGUGGAUAACGUCCACCUCAUCCCGCUCCAAAAUCAAUUUUUAAAAAUUGAUUUUGGAGCGGGAUGACGGGAAAGUGCCGCAGAGACUAUACUACUGGAACUUUUCCAGGAAAGGUGAAAAGUAAGCAAGUUUGGGUUGAGGCCUUAAAAAGCUUCAAACCUAUUGCUUUCGUGCGCUAGCGAUAGCGUGUCGUGGCAAACCCUGUCUUAUGCAAGGCCGUGUCCCUUCCCAAAAUUGAAAUUUUUGGUUUUAGCAUAUUUUUUUUGGAAGUUGAUCUUUUUAUUAUAUAUCUUGAUUUACAAGGAAUUUGUUCAGAAAGUUUCAAUUUUGGGAAGGGAAGAGCCGCUUGAGCAAAAUGGUAACAUUUUGCCCAGAUAAAUAAUCACCGUGCCCGGCUCUAAAAUUAAAAACCAAGACUUCUAAAAAUAAAAAUCGUCAAAAAAUUUUGAUUUUAGAGCCGGGCAUACAGAAUCCGGCUUAUAGUUUUUGUUAAACC
This 562-nucleotide RNase P RNA is filed under the name Candidatus Moraniibacteriota bacterium. RNAcentral's name for it is "RNase P RNA component class A". It matches the Rfam family "Bacterial RNase P class A". From Rfam's summary of the family: Ribonuclease P (RNase P) is a ubiquitous endoribonuclease, found in archaea, bacteria and eukarya as well as chloroplasts and mitochondria. Its best characterised activity is the generation of mature 5'-ends of tRNAs by cleaving the 5'-leader elements of precursor-tRNAs. Cellular RNase Ps are ribonucleoproteins. Lineage: Bacteria; Candidatus Moraniibacteriota. The record is from RNAcentral.